Molecule: long non-coding RNA, 478 nt
Organism: Vespula pensylvanica (western yellowjacket)
Lineage: Eukaryota; Metazoa; Arthropoda; Insecta; Hymenoptera; Vespidae
Exons: 3
Source: RefSeq, a predicted model, not a curated record
GAUGUAGAGUCAGUGUUUGUUCGUAAUAUUUUUGAUUUAUAUCUAAAUAAGCUUAUUAAAUAAAAUUAAAUUCAAUAUAUAAAUUCGCGAAUUAAAAUCAGUGUUAGUGCAUAUUCAUCGUCUUGGGGCAGGACGCUCAUCGUGCAAGGACCAACAACGGCUCUGGCUCAAGUAAAAGAAGAAUCAUCGUCUUCCUGGGGCAGGAUGCUCAUCGUGCAAAGGAUCCACAAAGACUCCAGAUCAUUGCAAUCGUGCGCGUGGCAAUUGAUGGAGUAUUGUAUCGUUUAAAUAAAAUCAAAAUCGCGAAUUAGAAGCACGUUCGUUCGUCAAUUUAAAUACAUACGCGUCUCGCGACUUCAAUUUUAGAAACAUUUGUACUUAAAAUUGAUUGCGUGCAAAGCAAUCAAUCAUAGAUUUUAGGGCUUGUUCGUAAAAAGUAUUUCUUUUCAAACAGUCGCACAGACUGUUCGCGUUUAGA